This 620-nucleotide ribosomal RNA is filed under the name uncultured bacterium. Its description in RNAcentral is "bacterial SSU rRNA". It matches the Rfam family "Bacterial small subunit ribosomal RNA", at positions 68 to 667 of the family's 1533-position model. The record is from RNAcentral.
GCGAAAGGGACUUCGGUCCUGAGUAAAGUGGCGCACGGGUGAGUAACGCGUGGAUAAUCUACCCAAUGAUCUGGGAUAACAUUUCGAAAGGGGUGCUAAUACCGGAUAAGACCACGGAGUCCCUGGACUCUGCGGUAAAAGGUGGGGACCUUCGGGCCUACCGUCAUCGGAUGAGUCCGCGUACCAUUAGCUAGCUGGCAGGGUAAUGGCCUACCAAGGCAACGAUGGUUAGCUGGUCUGAGAGGAUGAUCAGCCACACUGGAACUGAGACACGGUCCAGACUCCUACGGGAGGCAGCAGUGGGGAAUUUUGCGCAAUGGGGGAAACCCUGACGCAGCAACGCCGCGUGAGUGAUGAAGGCUUUCGGGUCGUAAAGCUCUGUCAGAAGGGAAGAAAUGUGGGUGGCUAAUAUCCAUACCACUUGACGGUACCUUCAAAGGAAGCACCGGCUAACUCCGUGCCAGCAGCCGCGGUAAUACGGAGGGUGCGAGCGUUGUUCGGAAUUAUUGGGCGUAAAGCGCGUGUAGGCAGUCUUUUAAGUCUGAUGUGAAAGCCCUGGGCUCAACCCAGGAAGUGCAUUGGAAACUGGGAGACUUGAAUACGGGAGAGGGUAGUGGAAU